RNAcentral lists this ribosomal RNA (587 nucleotides) under Isochrysis galbana. Its description in RNAcentral is "partial Bacterial large subunit ribosomal RNA". It matches the Rfam family "Bacterial large subunit ribosomal RNA", at positions 1116 to 1806 of the family's 2925-position model. Lineage: Eukaryota; Haptophyta; Isochrysidales; Isochrysidaceae. The record is from RNAcentral.
CCACCCUUGAAAGAAAGCGUAACAGCUCACUGGUCUAAUAGCCGUCCUGCGCCGAAGAUGUACCGGGGCUCAAGCCAUACACCGAAGCUGCGGGUGUGCCCUUCCUACGGGAAGGGUACGCAGUAGCGGAGCGUUCCGUAAGCCUGUGAAGGCGUACCUGUGAGGGGCGCUGGAGGUAUCGGAAGUGAGAAUGCUGACAUGAGUAGCGAUAAAGAGUGUGAGAAACACUCUCGCCGAAAGUCCAAGGGUUCCUGCGUAAAGCUAAUCUGCGCAGGGUUAGUCGGCCCCUAAGGCGAGGGCGAAAGCCGUAGUCGAUGGGAAUCAGGUUAAUAUUCCUGAACCUGUGGGUGGUGACGAAUAGCGUAAGUUGUAUCUCCUUAUCGGAUUGGAGGUGCCGCGAAGCUGUUCCAGGAAAUAACCCCCACGUGAGACCGUACCCGAAACCGACACAGGUGGACAGGUAGAGCAUACCAAGGCGCUUGAGAGAACUCUGCUGAAGGAACUCGGCAAAUUACUCCCGUAAGUUCGCGAGAAGGGAGCCUCAUCAUGAAGAUGAGGGGCACAGACCAGGGGGUGGCGACUGUUUA